CAGUCGCCACGGGAAUACGGAGGGUGCGAGCGUUGUCCGGAUUUAUUGGGUUUAAAGGGUGCGUAGGUGGCUUUAUAAGUCAGUGGUGAAAUACGGUUGCUCAACAAUCGAGGUGCCAUUGAUACUGUAGAGCUUGAAAUAAUUGGAGGCUGCCGGAAUGGAUGGUGUAGCGGUGAAAUGCAUAGAUAUCAUCCAGAACACCGAUUGCGAAGGCAGGUGGCUACGAUUUGUUUGACACUGAGGCACGAAAGCAUGGGGAUCAAACAGGAUUAGAUACCCCCGUAGUCCCUGUAUCUUAUAA
RNAcentral lists this ribosomal RNA (301 nucleotides) under uncultured bacterium. RNAcentral describes it as "partial 16S ribosomal RNA". It matches the Rfam family "Bacterial small subunit ribosomal RNA", at positions 509 to 809 of the family's 1533-position model. The record is from RNAcentral.